CUUCGGAUGCUGACGAGUGGCGGACGGGUGAGUAACGCGUAGGAAUCUGCCCAUUUGAGGGGGAUACCAGUUGGAAACGACUGUUAAUACCGCAUAAUAUCUGUGGAUUAAAGGUGGCUUAGGCUGCCGCAGAUGGAUGAGCCUGCGUUGGAUUAGCUAGUUGGUGGGGUAAGGGCCUACCAAGGCUACG
This 190-nucleotide ribosomal RNA is filed under the name Francisella philomiragia. Its description in RNAcentral is "partial 16S ribosomal RNA". It matches the Rfam family "Bacterial small subunit ribosomal RNA", at positions 78 to 278 of the family's 1533-position model. Lineage: Bacteria; Pseudomonadati; Pseudomonadota; Gammaproteobacteria; Thiotrichales; Francisellaceae. The record is from RNAcentral.